This 250-nucleotide ribosomal RNA is filed under the name uncultured bacterium. RNAcentral's name for it is "partial 16S ribosomal RNA". It matches the Rfam family "Bacterial small subunit ribosomal RNA", at positions 524 to 773 of the family's 1533-position model. The record is from RNAcentral.
UACGUAGGCAGCAAGCGUUGUUCGGAGUUACUGGGCGUAAAGGGUGUGUAGGCGGUCCCUUAAGUUUGUUGUGAAAUCUCCCGGCUCAACUGGGAGGGUGCGGCGAAUACUGAGGGGCUAGAGUGCGGGAGAGGAAAGUGGAAUUCCUGGUGUAGCGGUGAAAUGCGUAGAUAUCAGGAGGAACACCGGUGGUGUAAACGGCUUUCUGGACCGUAACUGACGCUGAGACACGAAAGCGUGGGUAGCAAAC